RNAcentral lists this ribosomal RNA (441 nucleotides) under uncultured Parapedobacter sp. RNAcentral's name for it is "bacterial SSU rRNA". It matches the Rfam family "Bacterial small subunit ribosomal RNA", at positions 355 to 794 of the family's 1533-position model. Lineage: Bacteria; Pseudomonadati; Bacteroidota; Sphingobacteriia; Sphingobacteriales; Sphingobacteriaceae. The record is from RNAcentral.
UGAGGAAUAUUGGUCAAUGGGCGGAAGCCUGAACCAGCCAAGUCGCGUGAGGGAAGACGGUCCUACGGAUUGUAAACCUCUUUUGUCGGGGAGCAAAGAGGCCACGCGUGGCAAGAUGAGCGUACCCGAAGAAAAAGCAUCGGCUAACUCCGUGCCAGCAGCCGCGGUAAUACGGAGGAUGCAAGCGUUAUCCGGAUUCAUUGGGUUUAAAGGGUGCGUAGGCGGCUUGGUAAGUCAGCGGUGAAAUUCCAGUGCUCAACAUUGGCCGUGCCGUUGAUACUGCUGGGCUUGAAUGCGGAUGCCGUGGGAGGAAUGUGUGGUGUAGCGGUGAAAUGCAUAGAUAUCACACAGAACACCGAUUGCGAAGGCAUCUCACGAAUCCGCAAUUGACGCUGAGGCACGAAAGUGUGGGGAUCAAACAGGAUUAGAUACCCUGGUAGU